AGCAGCCGCGGUAAUUCCAGCUCCAAUAGCGUAUAUUAAAGUUGCUGCAGUUAAAAAGCUCGUAGUUGAAUUUCGGGACUAAUAUGUCGGUCGUGCCUCGGUACGUACUGGUUUAUUGGUUUCUCCUUUCUGAAGAACCAUGAUGUCAUUUAUUUGGUGUCGUGGGGAAUCAGGACUGUUACUUUGAAAAAUUAGAGUGUUUAAAGCAGGCUCACGCUUGAAUACAUUAGCAUGGAAUAAUGAAAUAGGACGUUUGAUUCUAUUUUGUUGGUUUCUAGGAUCGACGUAAUGAUUAAUAGGGAUAGUUGGGGGCAUUAGUAUUCAAUUGUCAGAGGUGAAAUUCUUGGAUUUAUUGAAGACUAACUACUGCGAAAGCAUUUGCCAAGGAUGUUUUCAUUAAUCAAGAACGAAAGUUAGGGGAUCGAAGACGAUCAGAUACCGUCGUAGUCUUAACCAUAAACUAUGCCGACUAGGGAUCGGAUGAUGUUAAUUUUUUAAUGACUCAUUCGGCGCCUUACGG
Molecule: small RNA, 520 nt
Filed under: uncultured Glomus
Lineage: Eukaryota; Fungi; Glomeromycota; Glomeromycetes; Glomerales; Glomeraceae
Description: SSU rRNA
Rfam family: Eukaryotic small subunit ribosomal RNA
Source: RNAcentral